This 687-nucleotide ribosomal RNA is filed under the name uncultured bacterium. Its description in RNAcentral is "bacterial SSU rRNA". It matches the Rfam family "Bacterial small subunit ribosomal RNA", at positions 139 to 813 of the family's 1533-position model. The record is from RNAcentral.
GGGGAUAACACUUGGAAACAGGUGCUAAUACCGCAUAACCAUAGUUACCGCAUGGUAACUAUGUAAAAGGUGGCUAUGCUACCGCUUUUGGAUGGGCCCGCGGCGCAUUAGCUAGUUGGUGGGGUAAAGGCUUACCAAGGCAAUGAUGCGUAGCCGAACUGAGAGGUUGAUCGGCCACAUUGGGACUGAGACACGGCCCAAACUCCUACGGGAGGCAGCAGUAGGGAAUCUUCCACAAUGGGCGAAAGCCUGAUGGAGCAACGCCGCGUGGGUGAAGAAGGUCUUCGGAUCGUAAAACCCUGUUGUUAGAGAAGAAAGUGCGUGAGAGUAACUGUUCACGUUUCGACGGUAUCUAACCAGAAAGCCACGGCUAACUACGUGCCAGCAGCCGCGGUAAUACGUAGGUGGCAAGCGUUAUCCGGAUUUAUUGGGCGUAAAGGGGACGCAGGCGGUCUUUUAAGUCUGAUGUGAAAGCCUUCGGCUUAACCGGAGUAGUGCAUUGGAAACUGGGAGACUUGAGUGCAGAAGAGGAGAGUGGAACUCCAUGUGUAGCGGUGAAAUGCGUAGAUAUAUGGAAGAACACCAGUGGCGAAAGCGGCUCUCUGGUCUGUAACUGACGCUGAGGUUCGAAAGCGCGGGUAGCAAACAGGAUUAGAUACCCUGGUAGUCCACGCCGUAAACGAUGAA